This 293-nucleotide unclassified non-coding RNA is filed under the name uncultured fungus. RNAcentral's name for it is "sequence contains ITS1". The record is from RNAcentral. Lineage: Eukaryota; Fungi.
AGGACUACCGGGGUAUCUAAUCCUGUUUGCUCCCCACGCUUUCGUGCCUCAGUGUCAGUAUUAGGCCAGGUAGCCACCUUCGCCACUGGUGUUCCUUCCGAUCUCUACGCAUUUCACCGCUACACCGGAAAUUCCACUACCCUCUCCCAUACUCGAGUCUACCAGUCUUAUCUGACCUGCCCAGGUUAAGCCCAGGGAUUUCACAGAUAACUUAAUAAACCACCUACGCACCCUUUACGCCCAGUAAUUCCGAUUAACGCUCGCACCCUCCGUAUUACCGCGGCGGCUGGCAC